Rhinopithecus roxellana (golden snub-nosed monkey) is the source of this 647-nucleotide long non-coding RNA. RefSeq lists it as uncharacterized. The transcript has 3 exons. The record is from RefSeq and is a predicted model, not a curated record. Lineage: Eukaryota; Metazoa; Chordata; Mammalia; Primates; Cercopithecidae.
GCGGCCGCCCGGCCCGCUUGACAUACCAAGAAUAGCUGCACACAAUUGUACCUUUCCCGGCCAAGAAACUUCCCCCGCUGGGGAGCGCGGCCCGCCUCCCUCACCUAGCCGGGGCCAGCAGAGCCCGCUACCCGCUCUCCUGCUGCGAUCCGGCCCCGCCGCCAGCUAAAGAAGUCACUUUCAAGAGAUCAGAAGUAAGAUGGCCAAAUAAAAGCCUCUACCAACCAUCCUCCCCACAGGAACACCAAAUUUAAGAGCUAUCUACACAAAAAAGCACCUUCAUAAAAAACAAAAAUCAGAGAGAACAAGGAUAAAGAAGUAUCCAAAUACAAAGAAAAUGUUAUACAAGUGACCUUUAGAGAUGUUUUAAAGAUGACAAAAUAUUAAUAGCACUUAAGAUGGGCCAAUAAGUUUUACUGUUACCUCUAAUAAAGUUUCAUCACUAGUUUCACCAUGGUUAAUUGGAAAUGGUUUCCGCCCAUCUGUGGAAAACAGACAAACAAUUGAAUGCUUAGCUGUUUUUACAGGAUAAUGUACUUUCAACUUCCAUUUUCCUCUUUCCUCAGUGAGGCGAGAAAAGUUAAAAGUCAUUUUAAAUAAUAUAUCCUAAAACAAAUGUUUUAAUGUGCUACCAUGAAUAUUUUUUA